AAGAGUUUGAUCAUGGCUCAGAUUGAACGCUGGCGGCAGGCCUAACACAUGCAAGUCGAACGGUAACAGGAAGCAGCUUGCUGCUUUGCUGACGAGUGGCGGACGGGUGAGUAAUGUCUGGGAAACUGCCUGAUGGAGGGGGAUAACUACUGGAAACGGUGGCUAAUACCGCAUAACGUCGCAAGACCAAAGAGGGGGACCUUCGGGCCUCUUGCCAUCAGAUGUGCCCAGAUGGGAUUAGCUUGUUGGUGAGGUAACGGCUCACCAAGGCGACGAUCCCUAGCUGGUCUGAGAGGAUGACCAGCCACACUGGAACUGAGACACGGUCCAGACUCCUACGGGAGGCAGCAGUGGGGAAUAUUGCACAAUGGGCGCAAGCCUGAUGCAGCCAUGCCGCGUGUAUGAAGAAGGCCUUCGGGUUGUAAAGUACUUUCAGCGGGGAGGAAGGUGUUGUGGUUAAUAACCGCAGCAAUUGACGUUACCCGCAGAAGAAGCACCGGCUAACUCCGUGCCAGCAGCCGCGGUAAUACGGAGGGUGCAAGCGUUAAUCGGAAUUACUGGGCGUAAAGCGCACGCAGGCGGUCUGUCAAGUCGGAUGUGAAAUCCCCGGGCUCAACCUGGGAACUGCAUUCGAAACUGGCAGGCUUGAGUCUUGUAGAGGGGGGUAGAAUUCCAGGUGUAGCGGUGAAAUGCGUAGAGAUCUGGAGGAAUACCGGUGGCGAAGGCGGCCCCCUGGACAAAGACUGACGCUCAGGUGCGAAAGCGUGGGGAGCAAACAGGAUUAGAUACCCUGGUAGUCCACGCCGUAAACGAUGUCUACUUGGAGGUUGUGCCCUUGAGGCGUGGCUUCCGGAGCUAACGCGUUAAGUAGACCGCCUGGGGAGUACGGCCGCAAGGUUAAAACUCAAAUGAAUUGACGGGGGCCCGCACAAGCGGUGGAGCAUGUGGUUUAAUUCGAUGCAACGCGAAGAACCUUACCUGGUCUUGACAUCCACAGAACUUUCCAGAGAUGGACUGGUGCCUUCGGGAACUGUGAGACAGGUGCUGCAUGGCUGUCGUCAGCUCGUGUUGUGAAAUGUUGGGUUAAGUCCCGCAACGAGCGCAACCCUUAUCCUUUGUUGCCAGCGAUUAGGUCGGGAACUCAAAGGAGACUGCCAGUGAUAAACUGGAGGAAGGUGGGGAUGACGUCAAGUCAUCAUGGCCCUUACGACCAGGGCUACACACGUGCUACAAUGGCGCAUACAAAGAGAAGCGACCUCGCGAGAGCAAGCGGACCUCAUAAAGUGCGUCGUAGUCCGGAUUGGAGUCUGCAACUCGACUCCAUGAAGUCGGAAUCGCUAGUAAUCGUGGAUCAGAAUGCCACGGUGAAUACGUUCCCGGGCCUUGUACACACCGCCCGUCACACCAUGGGAGUGGGUUGCAAAAGAAGUAGGUAGCUUAACCUUCGGGAGGGCGCUUACCACUUUGUGAUUCAUGACUGGGGUGAAGUCGUAACAAGGUAACCGUAGGGGAACCUGCGGUUGGAUCACCUCCUUACCUUAAAGAAGC
RNAcentral lists this ribosomal RNA (1548 nucleotides) under Salmonella enterica. Its description in RNAcentral is "bacterial SSU rRNA". It matches the Rfam family "Bacterial small subunit ribosomal RNA". Lineage: Bacteria; Pseudomonadati; Pseudomonadota; Gammaproteobacteria; Enterobacterales; Enterobacteriaceae. The record is from RNAcentral.